GGCCCCCAGAAGAAUUGUGUCCUCUGGGAGGCCCUCAAUCAGGGUCCCUGAGGAAGGGACUUGUUCCCAUACACACUUAAGGCUCUUUCUGGGCAUUCCCAGAAAUAUUUGGGGAAAAUUUUGUGGUCCUGCAGCCUUGUCGGUGAAAAGAAUGCACUGCUGCAACUUAGAUACUGAGAUGGUUAAUUUUAUGCAUCAACUAGGAUGGUGCCCAGGUAUUUGGUCAAACAUUAAUCUGGAUGUUUCUGUGAAGAUGUUUUUGAAUGAGACUAUCAUUUAAAUCGGUGGACUUUGAGUAAAGCAGAUUGCUCUCCAUAAUGUGGAUGGGUCUUAUCCAAUCAGUCAAAGGCCUGAAUAAAAUGAAAGACUGGUCUACCCCAGUAGGAGAAAAUUCUGCCUGCGGACAGUCUUUGGACCUGAACUGCAACAUUGUUUUUUCUCUUGAGUCCUCAACUUGAUGGUCCUGGAACUUGAACUGCAACAGCAGCUCCUCCCUGGGUCUCCAGUCUGCCAGCCCACCCUGUAGGUUUUGGACUUGCCAGCCCCCAUAAUCAUGUUUUAAGGGACAAGGAACCAAGGACAGAGAGAUGCUACCAAGUGGGAUGAGAAUUAACACACCUGUGUGUCCCUGGGGCUCUAGAAGAUGUCACGGACAGGAGAGAGCCAGAGGAGACUGGCACUUAGCAACAUUAAUUUUAUCAAGACCAGGAAGAAGGCAGAAGAAUAAGAAAAUACUUUCCUUUUUCCCCUCUUCACUGCACUAAGGAGGAUCCCACGGUAGCUCAAAGCUGCACAUUGCACUUUCUGUCCUUG
Molecule: non-coding RNA, 813 nt
Organism: Kogia breviceps (pygmy sperm whale)
Lineage: Eukaryota; Metazoa; Chordata; Mammalia; Artiodactyla; Physeteridae
Source: RefSeq, a predicted model, not a curated record